Molecule: small RNA, 596 nt
Filed under: Histoplasma capsulatum var. duboisii H88
Lineage: Eukaryota; Fungi; Ascomycota; Eurotiomycetes; Onygenales; Ajellomycetaceae
Description: Histoplasma capsulatum H88 hypothetical RNA
Source: RNAcentral
GACAUUCGUGCGCCGUGAAUCUCUUGUGGAACGCUUCGCCCUCCUUGCAGCCAAUUUCAAGUGGCUGUAAGCGCUGGCGAGAAAAAAGUACAUCAAAUCAUUCCCUGUGUAUGUUUCCAUCCAUGGAUACUGGCGGGUACAACCUAUGUAACUGGAAUAAUCUAAUUCAGGAAAUGGUUCAACUCGAUCAGAAGUCUUCAGGCUUCCAUACUUGGAUCAUUACCGCCUCGCCUCGUCUUUGUACAUUUACGAAUAAAAACUACGUCCCACUCACAGUUACUGCAUAAUUACCCCUUGCUUCCUACUUUCUCCUCUCCUCAGGCUUCCACGUCGUUUCAACCUCAAAUGAAUCCUUCCCAAGUUCCUCCCAGUCCAACCUCCCCCACCUCUCCGGCCUCUCCAACGCAUCCACAAAAUGCUUCAUAGCCAACACAGCCUGACCCGCCCACCUCUCCUUGCUAACUUUCCCUACCCCAACCGCCAACGGGGGCAUUAAGAUCCUAUCAAUCCUCCUCCUCCUCGCCUCCUUCCCCCCCUCCUCCCCGCCACCCCCUUCCUCUCUGACCUCUCGAUUCCACUUCUCUACCUCCCCCAUC